GCCUACGGGGGGCAGCAGUGGGGAAUCUUCCGCAAUGGGCGAAAGCCUGACGGAGCAACGCCGCGUGAUCGAAUGAAGGCCUUCGGGUUGUAAAGAUCUGUUGACAGGGACGAACAAGCAAUGCGAAUAGUUUUGUGUAUGACGGUACCUGUUUAGAAAGCUCCGGCUAACUACGUGCCAGCAGCCGCGGUAAUACGUAGGGAGCGAGCGUUAUCCGGAAUUAUUGGGCGUAAAGGGUGCGUAGAUGGCAUAGUAAGUCUUUUGUAAAAAUGCUGGGCUCAACCCAGUAGGGCAAAAGAUACUGC
RNAcentral lists this ribosomal RNA (305 nucleotides) under uncultured bacterium. RNAcentral's name for it is "bacterial SSU rRNA". It matches the Rfam family "Bacterial small subunit ribosomal RNA", at positions 337 to 636 of the family's 1533-position model. The record is from RNAcentral.